AUGGAUCCAAAUUCUUGUUAUGUGCUGAAAAUUAGAUUGCUUGGCAACCCAAAAAAAGCUAGAAAAGAGCCCAUGUGUUUUUAUUUCGAGAAGGUUAUUGAUUCCGACUUGACAAAUUAUGAAGAUUUGGUUGAAUCAAUUAUAGUGCAGUACCAGCCAUGUUAUUUGGAAGGUGCGCAUGUUCACUACUAUGAUGAAGUUCUGAAAACGUUUCUAGAAAUAAAAUCAGACCAAGAGUUGAUGUAUAUGUUUGAGAAACAGUCUAAGUCAAAGAUGGUGCAGAUGUUCAUUGUAUAUUGGGAACCCUCUGAACCAUAUGAGCCUAUCAUUGAGUAUUAUAGUAAUGUGCAUAUCCAACCUAAGAACAACGUAGACCAAGAUGAUGAUAGUUACCUUCGCAACCCAAUACCGGAGAAUGAACAUGUUGGGAUGGAUGAAGAGAAUAUGUAUUUGAAGGAAGAACCUAAAGCUCUAAAUGUGGUUCUUUUUCCUGAUAAAGAAAAGGACCAAGACUAUGUUGCUGAUGGUGAGAGUGAGGAUGGGAGUGAGGAUCAGAGUAAGGAUGAGAGCGAGGACGAGACUGAAGUAGAGGAGGAUGAGGAGUUGCAUGAGGUAAAUCAUGCCCCAAAUAUAGAGUAUGAUAAGGAUGACCCUCCUAUGACUGAAGGUUUCAUAUAUCCCAAUAUGAAGGAGUUUAAGUUGGCCCUUUCUCAGCAUGCUAUCAAACAUGAAUUUGAGUAUAAUACGAAGAAGAGUGCACCAUGUAGGUUCAGGGGUUGUAAAAUAAGAGAUGAAGAUAAUUGUCCAUGGAGGAUACAUGCUUCUACAACGGAUGAUUUGUGUACCGUAGUGGUGAAAAAAAACCCUUUUGGUCAUGAUUGCUCUAGUGCAAGAAGGAAAAAGAAGGUGAAGAAUCCAACUAAGUACUGGAUAUGUGAGAAGGUGAAGGACUGGCUCAUUGAAGAUGCAACUCUAGGAGCAAAGGAAUUGUGA
This 993-nucleotide ribosomal RNA is filed under the name Triticum aestivum (bread wheat). RNAcentral describes it as "partial small subunit ribosomal RNA". The record is from RNAcentral. Lineage: Eukaryota; Viridiplantae; Streptophyta; Magnoliopsida; Poales; Poaceae.